RNAcentral lists this ribosomal RNA (253 nucleotides) under uncultured archaeon. RNAcentral's name for it is "partial 16S ribosomal RNA". It matches the Rfam family "Archaeal small subunit ribosomal RNA", at positions 474 to 727 of the family's 1478-position model. The record is from RNAcentral.
AACCAGCACCUCAAGUGGUCAGGAUGAUUAUUGGGCCUAAAGCAUCCGUAGCCUGCUUUGUUAGUUUUCGGUUAAAUCCAUGCGCUCAACGUAUGGGCUGCCGGGAAUACUGCAAAGCUAGGGAGUGGGAGAGGUAGACGGUACUCGGUAGGAAGGGGUAAAAUCCUUUGAUCUAUCGAUGACCACCUGUGGCGAAGGCGGUCUACCAGAACACGUUCGACGGUGAGGGAUGAAAGCUGGGGGAGCAAACCGG